This 312-nucleotide ribosomal RNA is filed under the name Triticum aestivum (bread wheat). RNAcentral describes it as "partial small subunit ribosomal RNA". Lineage: Eukaryota; Viridiplantae; Streptophyta; Magnoliopsida; Poales; Poaceae. The record is from RNAcentral.
AUGGACCUCCUCUUCGAGCGGGCGCGAGGUAAGGCUUCGCCUGUCAAGGAGUUCCAGUGGCUCGGGCUGAUGCUGUUCGUUGCCGUUCUGUUCCCAUGGACCAGCGCCAUCAUCGCGUCUGUCCUGGACAUGCCGUUCUUGUCAGGCUUGUCCAUCAACUUUGUGGGAGUCGUCCUAGCAGGGUUGGUGGUAAACUUGCUCAUGAAUUUCGGUCUGAAGUAUGUCAUUGGCACGGGGGCGCUCCUCUUUAUUGUAUCAACUGUCAUAUGGGGUGCCCUUGAGGGUCUGAAGAAAUCGUCGAAUACAAAAUGA